RNAcentral lists this ribosomal RNA (406 nucleotides) under uncultured bacterium. RNAcentral describes it as "partial 16S ribosomal RNA". It matches the Rfam family "Bacterial small subunit ribosomal RNA", at positions 30 to 526 of the family's 1533-position model. The record is from RNAcentral.
AUUGAACGCUGGCGGCAGGCCUAACACAUGCAAGUCGAGCGAGCGGCGGACUGGUGAGUAAUGUCUGGGAAACUGCCUGAUGUGGGGGGUUAACUGCUGGAAACGGUAGCUAAUACCGCAUACCAUCAGAUGUGCCCAGAUGGGAUUAGUUAGUGGUUGGGGUAAUGGCUCACCUGGGCGACGCUCCCUAGCUGGUCUGAGAGGAUGACCAGCCAAACUGGAACGGAGACACGGUCCAGACUCCUACGGGAGGAAGCGGUGGGGAAUAUUGGACAAUGGGCGCAAGCCGGAUGCAGACAUGCCGCAUGUGGAAAGAAGGCCUUCGGGUUGUAAAGCACUUUCAGCGGGGAGGCGUUACCCGCAGAAGAAGCACCGGCUAACUACGUACCAGCAGCCGCGGUAAUAC